CCCUUAGAUGUUCUGGGCCGCACGCGCGCUACACUGAUGCAUUCAACGAGCCUAGCCUUGACCGAGAGGUCCGGGUAAUCUUUGAAACUGCAUCGUGAUGGGGCUAGAUUAUUGCAAUUAUUAAUCUUCAACGAGGAAUGCCUAGUAAGCGUGAUUCAUCAAAUCGCGUUGAUUACGUCCCUGCCCUUUGUACACACCGCCCGUCGCUCCUACCGAUUGAGUGUGUUGGUGAGGAGCUCGGAUUGGCAGCAGGUGGUGGUUCGCCACCGCCUAUUGCUGAGAAGUCCUCCAAACCGCNCNACUUAGNGGAAGGAGAANUCGUANCA
This 326-nucleotide ribosomal RNA is filed under the name uncultured eukaryote. Its description in RNAcentral is "partial 18S ribosomal RNA". It matches the Rfam family "Eukaryotic small subunit ribosomal RNA", at positions 1470 to 1796 of the family's 1831-position model. The record is from RNAcentral.